Long non-coding RNA from Solanum tuberosum (potato), 1093 nucleotides. RefSeq lists it as uncharacterized. NCBI's taxonomy places the organism in Eukaryota, Viridiplantae, Streptophyta, Magnoliopsida, Solanales, Solanaceae. The transcript is spliced from 5 exons. The record is from RefSeq and is a predicted model, not a curated record.
UUCUUCUAUCACUGGCUUUUGCUCUUCCUCAAAUCCGGAUCAUCGUUUUUGGAUCUCAGUUUUGCCUCAAAUGUUUCUUCGAUGUUGCUCUAAUCCUUAGUUACAGUACUUGAGUUGGACCAACACAGCUCCAAAAGGUGGUACCAAAAGCAUUUCAAGUUGUACUAUAAGGCCUCAUAAUUUUUUGCCCUUUGUGGCCCAAUUUUAUUGGCUCUUCUACACGUGGAAGGAUGAUAAAAUUAUACAACACAAGUACAUAUGCUCAAAACGCUCAUUUGAAGCAAGCUCUUUCAAUUAUGAAUUUUCAUCUUUAACUCAGAACCCUUCAAGAUUGAAUUUUAUACUACAUGUUAUUGGCCUCUCUAACUAUUAUUCUUGAUGAACUACUCUCUAUACUAAAUUGGAUGGAUUUUCUACAUGAUGAACAAGGGUAGUGAUAGACCUGUGCUUUGAAAAGCAAGAUAAUCCUAAUUUGGCAGUGAGAGGCUUCUCAUUCAUCGAUGAUGUUGAGAGAUUAGUUGAAGCUGAAUGCCCUGGAGUUGUUUCUUGUGCUGGGAUUAUCGUGUUGGUUGCUAGAGAUGCACUUGUGGUUACGGUGUUCAAAAGUUGUCGUGUGAGAUCAUAUGAAUGGAUUGUUGGUGUUCUGUGGUAAUACGAAGUUCUACUUUAAAGUUUACAGACUAGCUUCAUGUUACAUAUGAAUAACAAGACUCAAUCAUACAUAGAAGACGGUCCAUGUUCUAAGGUAUGAAGCUUGCAUUUAAUAUGUCUCUCAUUUUUCUUGAUUUUGGUGUCUCUGCAUUAUCAGAUAAUAUAAUGUAUCACAUGAAAAUUGACGAGGGUCAUAGAUGUCUAGCAUGUAUUGUUUGCAUCAGACGUUUUAAGUUGAGCUUUAGUGGUGGAGUAGCAGUUCUAUUCUAAAUUUAUUGCCUUUAAGCCUUCGUGCUCUGGAAUUCUGUAGAUCAGGUGAACCUCAAUUGGGAUCCUCUCUUUUCCCGUGACACAUUUCUUUUUUUGAGGCGGUUUCUUUUUCUCAAUCUUACCAUUUAUAUCUACUGAUUGUUGAACCCAAAAAAAAUACAGAAAUAUCUAU